GCCUUACAGGUUGUUGGGGGAGGAAAGGGUUCACCAAGGGGGACGACGGGUAGCCGGCCUGGGAGGGCGACCGGCCCCAUUGGGACUGAGAUACGGCCCAAAUUCCUACGGGAGGCAGCAGUGGGGAAUAUUGCACAAUGGGCGAAAGCCUGAUGCAGCAACGCCGCGUGCGGGAAGACGGCCUUCGGGUUGUAAACCGCUUUCAGUAGGGACGAAGCUAACGUGACGGUACCUACAGAAGAAGCACCGGCUAACUACGUGCCAGCAGCCGCGGUGAUACGUAGGGUGCGAGCGUUGUCCGGAAUUAUUGGGCGUAAAGAGCUUGUAGGCGGUUUGUCACGUCGGGAGUGAAAACUCGGGGCUUAACCCCGAGCCUGCUUCCGAUACGGGCUGACUUGAGGAAGGUAGGGGAGAAUGGAAUUCCUGGUGAAGCGGUGGAAUGCGUAGAUAUCAGGAGGAACACCAGUGGCGAAGGCGGUUCUCUGGACCUUUCCUGACGCUGAGAAGCGAAAGCGUGGGGAGCAAACAGGCUUAGAUACCCUGGUAGUCCACGCCGUAAACGGUGGGUACUAGGUGUGGGGAACAUUCCACGUUCUCCGUGCCGCAGCUAACGCAUUAAGUACCCCGCCUGGGGAGUACGGCCGCAAGGCUAAAACUCAAAGGAAUUGACGGGGCCCCGCACAAGCGGCGGAGCAUGCGGAUUAAUUCGAUGCAACGCGAAGAACCUUACCUGGGUUUGACAUAUACCGGAAACAUCUAGAGAUAGGUGCCCCUUUUUGGUCGGUAUACAGGUGGUGCAUGGCUGUCGUCAGCUCGUGUCGUGAGAUGUUGGGUUAAGUCCCGCAACGAGCGCAACCCUCGUCCUAUGUUGCCAGCGGAUAAUGCCGGGGACUCAUAGGAGACCGCCGGGGUCAACUCGGAGGAAGGUGGGGAUGACGUCAAGUCAUCAUGCCCCUUAUGUCCAGGGCUUCACGCAUGCUACAAUGGCCGGUACAAAGAGCUGCGAACCUGCAAGGGUGAGCGAAUCUCAAAAAGCCGGUCUCAGUUCGGAUUGGGGUCUGCAACUCGACCCCAUGAAGUCGGAGUCGCUAGUAAUCGCAGAUCAGCAACGCUGCGGUGAAUACGUUCCC
RNAcentral lists this ribosomal RNA (1130 nucleotides) under Tessaracoccus oleiagri. Its description in RNAcentral is "bacterial SSU rRNA". It matches the Rfam family "Bacterial small subunit ribosomal RNA", at positions 236 to 1375 of the family's 1533-position model. The record is from RNAcentral. Lineage: Bacteria; Bacillati; Actinomycetota; Actinomycetes; Propionibacteriales; Propionibacteriaceae.